UUAGAUCCAAUCAAGUCUAGAUCGGACGAUGGGGUUCCCACAUAUCUGAUCCCACACCAAAAAUCAUGUGAUUUGGAGACCUCUAGCAUAUGCAUCUAGUGGUUAAAAACAUUAAUUGUUUUGUUACUUAAAUUGUCUUAUUUUUUGACCACUUGAUACAUAGGCUAAAGAGCUCCAAAUCAUAUAAUUUUUCGUGUGCAAGUAGAUUAGAGAUAGUAGAUCACAUCCAACAUCUCAAAUCAUCAAUGUAACACUAUUAUCAUCUAAUCUAGGCCUAACCAGAUCUAAGUGGAGAUCCACUCGAGCGUAGCCAAG
This 315-nucleotide long non-coding RNA is filed under the name Phoenix dactylifera (date palm). RNAcentral describes it as "long non-coding RNA (PDAC_LNC014762)". Lineage: Eukaryota; Viridiplantae; Streptophyta; Magnoliopsida; Arecales; Arecaceae. The record is from RNAcentral.